AGCUCCAAUAGCGUAUAUUAAAGUUGUUGCAGUUAAAAAGCUCGUAGUUGGAUUUCUGGUGGGGGCGAUCGGUCCGCCCCGCAAGGGGUGUGUACUAGCGUCGUCUCCGGCCAUCCUUGUGGGAACUGCUCUGUCCUUAGUUGGAUGGGGUUUGGGAACACGUCGUUUACUGUGAAAAAAUUAGAGUGUUUAAAGCAGGCUUAGGCCGUUGAAUACAUUAGCAUGGAAUAAUAAGAUAAGACUUGGGUCAUUAUUUUGUUGGUUUGCGGAUCGAGGUUAUGAUUAAUAGGGAUAGUUGGGGGUAUUCAUAUUUAAUUGUCAGAGGUGAAAUUCUUGGAUUUAUGAAAGAUGAACUUAGGCGAAAGCAUUUACCAAGGAUGUUUUUA
Molecule: ribosomal RNA, 386 nt
Filed under: uncultured eukaryote
Lineage: Eukaryota
Description: SSU rRNA
Rfam family: Eukaryotic small subunit ribosomal RNA
Source: RNAcentral